This 1585-nucleotide long non-coding RNA is filed under the name Homo sapiens (human). RNAcentral's name for it is "non-protein coding lnc-COMMD10-6:1". The record is from RNAcentral. Lineage: Eukaryota; Metazoa; Chordata; Mammalia; Primates; Hominidae.
AAUCUCUGAGCUUGCGGUUAUAUCAGUAGAAACUUCCAAAAGUGAAAAAGACUAACAAAUUUGAAACAGAGUAUCGAAGAACUUUGGGACAAUUACAGAAGGUGUAGCAUAUCUAUAAUGGACAUACCAGAAGGAGGAAAGAGAAAGAACAGAAGAAACAUUUGAAGCAAUAAUGGCUGAAAAUUUCCUCAAAUGAAUGUCAGAUACCAAACCACACAUCUAGAAAGCUCAGAGAACGCCAAAGAUAAAUGCAAAAAUCAAACAAGCAAAGAAAAAAGUUUUCUCCCAUUCUGUAGGUUGCCUGUUCACUCUGAUGGUGGUUUCUUUUGCUGUGCAGAAGCUCUUUAGUUUAAUUAGAUCCCAUUUGUCAAUUUUGGCUUUUGUUGCCAUUGCUUUUGGUGUUUUAGACAUGAAGUCCUUGCCCAUGCCUAUGUCCUGAAUGGUAUUGCCUAGGUUUUCUUCUAGGGUUUUUAUGGUUUUAGGUCUAACAUGUUAAGCCUUUAAUCCAUCUUGAAUUAAUUUUUGUAUAAGGUGUAAGGAAGGGAUCCAGUUUCAGCUUUCUACAUAUGGCUAGCCAGUUUUCCCAGCACCAUUUAUUAAAUAGGGAAUCCUUUCCCCAUUUGUUGUUUUUGUCAGGUUUGUCAAAGAUCAGAUAGUUGUAGAUAUGCAGCAUUAUUUCUGAGGGCUCUGUUCUGUUCCAUUGAUGUAUAUCACUGUUUUGGUACCAGUACCAUGCUGUUUUGGUUACUGUAACCUUGUAGUAUAGUUUGAAGUCAGGUAGCGUGAUGCCUCCAGCUUUGUUCUUUUGGCUUAGGAUUGACUUGGCGAUGCAGGCUCUUUUUUGGUUCCAUAUGAACUUUAAAGUAGUUUUUUCCAAUUCUAUGAAGAAAGUCAUUGGUAGCUUGAUGGGGAUGGCAUUGAAUCUAUAAAUUACCUUGGGCAGUAUGGCCAUUUUCACAGUAUUGAUUCUUCCUACCCAUGAGCAUGGACUGUUCUUCCAUUUGUUUGUCACAUCAGCCAAAAAACACAUGAAAAAAUGCUCAUCAUCACUGGCCAUCAGAGAAAUACAAAUCAAAACCACAAUGAGAUACCAUCUCACACCAAUUAGAAUGGUGAUCAUUAAAAAGUCAGGAAACAACAGGUGCUGGAGAGGAUGUGGAGAAAUAGGAACACUUUUACACUGUUGGUGGGACUAUAAACUAGUUCAACCAUUGUGGGAGUCGGUGUGGCGAUUCCUCAGGGAUCUAGAGCUAGAAAUACCAUUUGACCCAGCCAUCCCAUUACUGGGUAUAUACCCAAAGGAUUAUAAAUCAUGCUGCUAUAAAGACACAUGCACACGUAUGUUUAUUGUGGCACUAUUCACAAUAGCAAAGACUUGGAACCAACCCAAAUGUCCAACAGUGAUAGACUGGAGUAAGAAAAUGUGGCACAUAUAAUUAUUAAUAUUGAAAUACACAUACCCUUUGGCAUAGCAAUCCAACUUCUGGCAAUCUAGUAAAUAAAAAUAAUGUCAAUUUUAAAAGGUAUACAUUCAAAGUUAUUAUGUAUUAUAGACUCAUUGACAUGGGAUCAACUAAAUACAUGA